This 253-nucleotide ribosomal RNA is filed under the name uncultured bacterium. Its description in RNAcentral is "partial 16S ribosomal RNA". It matches the Rfam family "Bacterial small subunit ribosomal RNA", at positions 524 to 776 of the family's 1533-position model. The record is from RNAcentral.
UACGGGGGGGGCAAGCGUUGUUCGGAAUUACUGGGCGUAAAGGGUUCGUAGGUGGCCAACUAAGUCAGACGUGAAAGCCCCCGGCUCAACUGGGGAGGGUCAUUCGAUACUGAUCGACUCGAAGGCAGGAGAGGGUAGUGGAAUUCCCGGUGUAGUGGUGAAAUGCGUAGAUAUCGGGAGGAACACCGGUGGCGAAGGCGGUUCUCUGGGCCUUACCUGACGCUGAGGAGCGAAAGCGUGGGGAGCGAACAGG